This 388-nucleotide ribosomal RNA is filed under the name uncultured Glomeromycotina. RNAcentral describes it as "SSU rRNA". It matches the Rfam family "Eukaryotic small subunit ribosomal RNA", at positions 672 to 1061 of the family's 1831-position model. Lineage: Eukaryota; Fungi; Glomeromycota. The record is from RNAcentral.
UGGUAUGCACUGGCUCGCUGACUCCUCCUUCUUGUAGAACCGUAAUGCCAUUAAUUUGGUGUUGCGGGGAAACAGGACUGUUACUUUGAAAAAAUUAGAGUGUUUAAAGCAGGCCAACGCCUGAAUACAUUAGCAUGGAAUAAUGAAAUAGGACGUUCGAACCUAUUUUGUUGGUUUCUAGGAUUGACGUAAUGAUUAAUAGGGAUAGUUGGGGGCAUUAGUAUUCAAUUGUCAGAGGUGAAAUUCUUGGAUUUAUUGAAGACUGACUACUGCGAAAGCAUUUGCCAAGGAUGUUUUCAUUAAUCAAGAACGAAAGCUAGGGGAUCGAAGACGAUCAGAUACCGUCGUAGUCUUAACCAUAAACUAUGCCGACUAGGGAUCGGAUGAU